GAUGAAGAACGUAGCGAAAUGCGAUAAGUAGUGUGAAUUCCAGAAUUCAGUGAAUCAUCGAAUCUUUGAACGCACAUUGCGCCCCUUGGUAUCCCGAGGGGCAUGCCUGUUCGAGCGUCAUUUCACCACUCAAGCCUGGCUUGGUGUUGGGCGACGUCCCCUUUGGGGACGCGCCUCGAAACGCUCGGCGGCGUGGCACCGGCUUUAAGCGUAGCAGAAUCUUUCGCUUUGGAAGUCGGGGCCCCGUCUGCCGGAAGACCUACUCGCAAGGUUGACCUCGGAUCAGGCAGGGAUACCCGCUGAACUUAAGCAUAUCAAUAAGCGGAGGA
Molecule: unclassified non-coding RNA, 329 nt
Filed under: soil metagenome
Description: partial contains 5.8S ribosomal RNA, internal transcribed spacer 2, and large subunit ribosomal RNA
Rfam family: 5.8S ribosomal RNA (bases 1-120)
Source: RNAcentral